RNAcentral lists this ribosomal RNA (427 nucleotides) under uncultured bacterium. Its description in RNAcentral is "partial 16S ribosomal RNA". It matches the Rfam family "Bacterial small subunit ribosomal RNA", at positions 355 to 774 of the family's 1533-position model. The record is from RNAcentral.
UGGGGAAUAUUGGACAAUGGGCGAAAGCCUGAUCCAGCCAUGCCGCGUGUGUGAAGAAGGUCUUCGGAUUGUAAAGCACUUUAAGUUGGGAGGAAGGGCAGUAAAUUAAUACUUUGCUGUUUUGACGUUACCGACAGAAUAAGCACCGGCUAACUCUGUGCCAGCAGCCGCGGUAAUACAGAGGGUGCAAGCGUUAAUCGGAAUUACUGGGCGUAAAGCGCGCGUAGGUGGUUCGUUAAGUUGGAUGUGAAAUCCCCGGGCUCAACCUGGGAACUGCAUUCAAAACUGACUGACUAGAGUAUGGUAGAGGGUGGUGGAAUUUCCUGUGUAGCGGUGAAAUGCGUAGAUAUAGGAAGGAACACCAGUGGCGAAGGCGACCACCUGGACUAAUACUGACACUGAGGUGCGAAAGCGUGGGGAGCAAACA